RNAcentral lists this ribosomal RNA (483 nucleotides) under uncultured bacterium. RNAcentral's name for it is "partial 16S ribosomal RNA". It matches the Rfam family "Bacterial small subunit ribosomal RNA", at positions 28 to 507 of the family's 1533-position model. The record is from RNAcentral.
AUUGAACGCUGGCGGCAUGCUUUACACAUGCAAGUCGAACGGCAGCGCGGGCUUCGGCCUGGCGGCGAGUGGCGCACGGGUGAGUAAUGCAUCGGAACGUGCCCAGUAGUGGGGGAUAGCCCGGCGAAAGCCGGAUUAAUACCGCAUACGACCUGAGGGUGAAAGCGGGGGAGCGAAAGGCCUCGCGCUAUUGGAGCGGCCGAUGUGGGAUUGGCUAGUUGGUGGGGUAAAGGCUUACCAGGGCGGCGAUCCGUAGCUGGUCUGAGAGGACGACCAGCCACACGGGGACGGGGAACGGGCCCAGCCUCUACGGGAGGCAGCAGUGGGGAAUUUUGGACAAUGGGGGCAACCCUGAUCCAGCCAUGCCGCGUGCGGGAAGAAGGCCUUCGGGUUGUAAACCGCUUUUGUUCGGGAAGAAAUCCUCUGGGCUAAUACCCCGGGGGGAUGACGGUACCGGAAGAAUAAGCACCGGCUAACUACGUG